Camelus ferus (Wild Bactrian camel) is the source of this 72-nucleotide transfer RNA. It matches the Rfam family "tRNA". Rfam says of the family: Transfer RNA (tRNA) molecules are approximately 80 nucleotides in length. Their secondary structure includes four short double-helical elements and three loops (D, anti-codon, and T loops). Lineage: Eukaryota; Metazoa; Chordata; Mammalia; Artiodactyla; Camelidae. The record is from Rfam.
GAGGGUAUAGCUCAGUAGUACAGAGUGUGCUUAACAUGCACAAGGUGCUGGGUUCAAUCCCCGGUACCGCCA